UACGUAGGUGACAAGCGUUGUCCGGAUUUACUGGGCGUAAAGAGCGCGCAGGCGGUCGUUCAAGUCGAGUGUGAAAGCCCCCGGCUCAACUGGGGAGGGUCAUUCGAUACUGAUCGACUCGAAGGCAGGAGAGGGUAGUGGAAUUCCUGGUGUAGCGGUGAAAUGCGUAGAUAUCAGGAGGAAUACCAGUGGCGAAGGCGGCUUUCUGGGCCUACCCUGACGCUGAGGAGCGAAAGCGUGGGGAGCAAACCGG
RNAcentral lists this ribosomal RNA (253 nucleotides) under uncultured bacterium. RNAcentral describes it as "partial 16S ribosomal RNA". It matches the Rfam family "Bacterial small subunit ribosomal RNA", at positions 524 to 776 of the family's 1533-position model. The record is from RNAcentral.